This 206-nucleotide unclassified non-coding RNA is filed under the name soil metagenome. RNAcentral's name for it is "partial contains 5.8S ribosomal RNA, internal transcribed spacer 2, and large subunit ribosomal RNA". The record is from RNAcentral.
AACAUCGCGCACCUGCGGGAACCUGCGGAAGGAUCAUUACCGAGUUUACAACUCCCAAACCCCUGUGAACAUACCUAUACGUUGCCUCGGCGGAUCAGCCCGCGCCCUGUAAAAAGGGACGGCCCGCCCGAGGACCCUAAACUCUGUUUUUAGUGGAACUUCUGAGUAAAACAAACAAAUAAAUCAAAACUUUUAGCAAUGGAUCU